AAAAGUUAAAAAAGGCUUUGGGACGAGUUUAUCUGAAUAUUCAACUUGACGAGGUUUAUCCGGACUGCUGUGACACUUGCAGCCAGCAGUUAAUGAGAGAAGUGAGUGUGGGAGGUCAUUGAUGUAUAGAAGAAAAAGCAAAGGUCCAAGUGUUGACCCUUGUGGGACUCCGCAGGUAAUUGGUUGAAGGUCCGAUUCAGUGUUUCCUAAUUUGACAAACUGUUUUCUUUCAUUUAGGUAGCUUGAAAACCAUUAUUGUGGGGUAUCCCUAAUUCCAUAUUUGUACAUUUUAUCAAGUAAAAUGUUAUGGUUUAGGGUAUCAAAUGCCUUCGAGAAAUCAAGGAGAAUACCACUUUGAGAAACAGGCCCCUGGUUAAGCAGUUAUAAUCACACAAAAAAACAGACUUGAAAAAUAAACUGAUUUAUUCUGUUUUGUA
Molecule: long non-coding RNA, 437 nt
Organism: Nematostella vectensis (starlet sea anemone)
Lineage: Eukaryota; Metazoa; Cnidaria; Anthozoa; Actiniaria; Edwardsiidae
Exons: 3
Source: RefSeq, a predicted model, not a curated record